AAUAAACGCUGGCGACGUGCCUAACACAUGCAAGUCGAGCGGGAAUAGUUCUUCGGAAUGAUUUCUAGCGGCAGACGGGUGAGUAAAGCAUGAGAAUCUGCCCCUUAGUAGAGAAUACUCCCGAGAAAUCGGGCUUAAUACUGUAUGUUUCCCUUUCGAGGGAAAAAGAUGGCCUCUUGCUAUCGCUAAGGGAUGAGCUUAUGUGCUAUCAGCUAGUUGGUGAGGUAAUGGCUCACCAAGGCUAUGACGGCUAGCCGGCCUGAGAGGGUGUACGGCCACACUGGAACUUAGAUACGGUCCAGACUCCUACGGGAGGCAGCAGUGGGGAAUAUUGCGCAAUGGGCGAAAGCCUGACGCAGCGACGUCGCGUGAAGGAUGAAGGUCUUCGGAUCGUAAACUUCUGUUAAGUGGGAAGAAAGCCUCACUAAUAAUACGAGUGAGGGAUGACGGUACCAUUAGAGAAAGCACCGGCUAACUUCGUGCCAGCAGCCGCAGUAACAC
RNAcentral lists this ribosomal RNA (501 nucleotides) under uncultured bacterium. RNAcentral describes it as "bacterial SSU rRNA". It matches the Rfam family "Bacterial small subunit ribosomal RNA", at positions 29 to 526 of the family's 1533-position model. The record is from RNAcentral.